GGGCGAUUAGCUCAGCGGUAGAGCACACCCUUCACACGGGUGGGGUCAUAGGUUCGAUCCCUAUAUCGCCCACCA
This 75-nucleotide transfer RNA is filed under the name Pseudomonadota bacterium. RNAcentral describes it as "tRNA-Val". It matches the Rfam family "tRNA". From Rfam's summary of the family: Transfer RNA (tRNA) molecules are approximately 80 nucleotides in length. Lineage: Bacteria; Pseudomonadati; Pseudomonadota. The record is from RNAcentral.